Molecule: ribosomal RNA, 223 nt
Filed under: uncultured bacterium
Lineage: Bacteria
Description: partial 16S ribosomal RNA
Rfam family: Bacterial small subunit ribosomal RNA
Source: RNAcentral
GAUCCUGGCUCAGGAUGAACGCUGGCGGCGUGCUUAACACAUGCAAGUCGAGCGAAGCAAUCUAAGUGAAGUUUUCGGAUGGAUCUUAGAUUGACUGAGCGGCGGACGGGUGAGUAACGCGUGGAUAACCUGCCUCACACGAGGGGGAUAACAGUUAGAAAUGACUGCUAAUACCGCAUAAGCGCACAGUACCGCAUGGUACAGUGUAGAAAACUCCGGUGGU